CGAACGCUGGCGGCGUGCUUAACACAUGCAAGUCGAACGAUGAAGCCCUGCUUGCAGGGUGGAUUAGUGGCGAACGGGUGAGUAACACGUGAGUAACCUGCCCCUGACUGUGGGAUAAGCCCGGGAAACUGGGUCUAAUACCGCAUAUGACACUUGGCCGCAUGGUCUGAGUGUGGAAAGUUUUUUCGGUUGGGGAUGGGCUCGCGGCCUAUCAGCUUGUUGGUGGGGUAAUGGCCUACCAAGGCGACGACGGGUAGCCGGCCUGAGAGGGCGACCGGCCACACUGGGACUGAGACACGGCCCAGACUCCUACGGGAGGCAGCAGUGGGGAAUAUUGCACAAUGGGGGAAACCCUGAUGCAGCGACGCCGCGUGAGGGAUGACGGCCUUCGGGUUGUAAACCUCUUUCAGUAGGGAAGAAGCCUUCGGGUGACGGUACCUGCAGAAGAAGUACCGGCUAAC
This 461-nucleotide ribosomal RNA is filed under the name Brevibacterium sp. mare23. RNAcentral's name for it is "bacterial SSU rRNA". It matches the Rfam family "Bacterial small subunit ribosomal RNA", at positions 30 to 501 of the family's 1533-position model. The record is from RNAcentral. Lineage: Bacteria; Bacillati; Actinomycetota; Actinomycetes; Micrococcales; Brevibacteriaceae.